RNAcentral lists this transfer RNA (113 nucleotides) under Astyanax mexicanus (Mexican tetra). It matches the Rfam family "tRNA". From Rfam's summary of the family: Transfer RNA (tRNA) molecules are approximately 80 nucleotides in length. Their secondary structure includes four short double-helical elements and three loops (D, anti-codon, and T loops). The record is from Rfam by way of RNAcentral. Lineage: Eukaryota; Metazoa; Chordata; Actinopteri; Characiformes; Acestrorhamphidae.
GUCAGAAUGGCUGAGCGGUCUAAGGCGCCAGACUCAAGGUUGUGCACCUUCUCCAAAACAGAGAGAUUUCUGGUCUCCGAAUGGAGGCGUGGGUUCAAAUCCCACUUCUGACA